RNAcentral lists this ribosomal RNA (440 nucleotides) under uncultured bacterium. Its description in RNAcentral is "partial 16S ribosomal RNA". It matches the Rfam family "Bacterial small subunit ribosomal RNA", at positions 338 to 795 of the family's 1533-position model. The record is from RNAcentral.
CCUACGGGGGGCAGCAGUGGGGGAUAUUGCACAAUGGGGGGAACCCUGAUGCAGCGACGCCGCGUGGGUGAAGAAGCGCCUCGGCGCGUAAAGCCCUGUCAGCAGGGAAGAAAAUGACGGUACCUGAAGAAGAAGCCCCGGCUAACUACGUGCCAGCAGCCGCGGGAAUACGUAGGGGGCAAGCGUUAUCCGGAUGUACUGGGUGUAAAGGGGGCGCAGACGGCGAUGCAAGCGAGGAGUGAAAGCCCGGGGCCCAACCCCGGGACUGCUCUUGGAACGGCGUGGCUGGAGUGCAGGAGGGGCAGGCGGAAUUCCUGGUGUAGCGGUGAAAUGCGUAGAUAUCAGGAGGAACACCGGUGGCGAAGGCGGCCUGCUGGACUGCAACUGACGUUGAGGCCCGAAAGCGUGGGGAGCAAACAGGAUUAGAUACCCCGGUAGUC